RNAcentral lists this ribosomal RNA (250 nucleotides) under uncultured bacterium. RNAcentral's name for it is "partial 16S ribosomal RNA". It matches the Rfam family "Bacterial small subunit ribosomal RNA", at positions 524 to 773 of the family's 1533-position model. The record is from RNAcentral.
UACAGAGGGGGCAAGCGUUAUUCGGAAUUAUUGGGCGUAAAGGGCGCGUAGGCGGCCCUUCAAGUGGUAGGUGAAAUCCCUCGGCUCAACCGAGGAGCUGCCCGCCAAACUGAAGAGCUUGAGUCCGGGAGAGGUGAGUGGAAUUCCCAGUGUAGCGGUGAAAUGCGUAGAUAUUGGGAGGAACACCAGUGGCGAAGGCGGCUCACUGGACCGGAACUGACGCUGAGGCGCGAAAGCGUGGGGAGCAAAC